This 119-nucleotide ribosomal RNA is filed under the name Pteropus alecto (black flying fox). Lineage: Eukaryota; Metazoa; Chordata; Mammalia; Chiroptera; Pteropodidae. The record is from RNAcentral.
GUCUAUGGCCAUGCCACCCUGAACGUGCCCGAUCCCGUCUGAUCUCGGAAGCUAAGCAGGGUCGGGCCUGGUUAGUGCGUGGAUGGGAGACCACCUAGGAAAACCAGGUGCUGUAAGCA